UACGUAGGGGGCGAGCGUUGUCCGGAAUUACUGGGCGUAAAGGGCACGCAGGCUGUGCUUCAAGUCAGCUGUAAAAGGAUGCGGCUUAACCGUGUUAUGCAGUUGAGACUGAGGUGCUGGAGUACCGGAGAGGCAAGUGGAAUUCCCAGUGUAGCGGUGAAAUGCGUAGAUAUUGGGAAGAACAUCGGUGGCGAAGGCGACUUGCUGGACGGUAACUGACGCUGAGGUGCGAAAGCCAGGGUAGCGAACGGG
RNAcentral lists this ribosomal RNA (252 nucleotides) under uncultured bacterium. RNAcentral's name for it is "partial 16S ribosomal RNA". It matches the Rfam family "Bacterial small subunit ribosomal RNA", at positions 524 to 776 of the family's 1533-position model. The record is from RNAcentral.